RNAcentral lists this ribosomal RNA (490 nucleotides) under uncultured bacterium. RNAcentral describes it as "bacterial SSU rRNA". It matches the Rfam family "Bacterial small subunit ribosomal RNA", at positions 451 to 939 of the family's 1533-position model. The record is from RNAcentral.
CCGUACUCUGGGAUACUUGGACGUCUGCUCCGCACACUUACCGCCGGCUAACUCUGUGCCAGCAGCCGCGGUAAUACAGAGGGUGCGAGCGUUAAUCGGAUUUACUGGGCGUAAAGCGUGCGUAGGCGGCUUUUUAAGUCGGAUGUGAAAUCCCCGAGCUUAACUUGGGAAUUGCAUUCGAUACUGGGAAGCUAGAGUAUGGGAGAGGAUGGUAGAAUUCCAGGUGUAGCGGUGAAAUGCGUAGAGAUCUGGAGGAAUACCGAUGGCGAAGGCAGCCAUCUGGCCUAAUACUGACGCUGAGGUACGAAAGCAUGGGGAGCAAACAGGAUUAGAUACCCUGGUAGUCCAUGCCGUAAACGAUGUCUACUAGCCGUUGGGGCCUUUGAGGCUUUAAUGGCGCAGCUAACGCGAUAAGUAGACCGCCUGGGGAGUACGGUCGCAAGACUAAAACUCAAAUGAAUUGACGGGGGCCCGCACAAGCGGUGGAGCA